UUAAGCGACUAAGCGUACACGGUGGAUGCCCUGGCAGUCAGAGGCGAUGAAGGACGUGCUAAUCUGCGAUAAGCGUCGGUAAGGUGAUAUGAACCGUUAUAACCGGCGAUUUCCGAAUGGGGAAACCCAGUGUGAUUCGUCACACUAUCAUUAACUGAAUCCAUAGGUUAAUGAGGCGAACCGGGGGAACUGAAACAUCUAAGUACCCCGAGGAAAAGAAAUCAACCGAGAUUCCCCCAGUAGCGGCGAGCGAACGGGGAGCAGCCCAGAGCCUGAAUCAGUGUGUGUGUUAGUGGAAGCGUCUGGAAAGGCGCGCGAUACAGGGUGACAGCCCCGUACACAAAAAUGCACAUACUGUGAGCUCGAUGAGUAGGGCGGGACACGUGGUAUCCUGUCUGAAUAUGGGGGGACCAUCCUCCAAGGCUAAAUACUCCUGACUGACCGAUAGUGAACCAGUACCGUGAGGGAAAGGCGAAAAGAACCCCGGCGAGGGGAGUGAAAAAGAACCUGAAACCGUGUACGUACAAGCAGUGGGAGCACAGAGCAAUCUGUGUGACUGCGUACCUUUUGUAUAAUGGGUCAGCGACUUAUAUUCUGUAGCAAGGUUAACCGAAUAGGGGAGCCGAAGGGAAACCGAGUCUUAACUGGGCGUUAAGUUGCAGGGUAUAGACCCGAAACCCGGUGAUCUAGCCAUGGGCAGGUUGAAGGUUGGGUAACACUAACUGGAGGACCGAACCGACUAAUGUUGAAAAAUUAGCGGAUGACUUGUGGCUGGGGGUGAAAGGCCAAUCAAACCGGGAGAUAGCUGGUUCUCCCCGAAAGCUAUUUAGGUAGCGCCUCGUGAAUUCAUCUCCGGGGGUAGAGCACUGUUUCGGCAAGGGGGUCAUCCCGACUUACCAACCCGAUGCAAACUGCGAAUACCGGAGAAUGUUAUCACGGGAGACACACGGCGGGUGCUAACGUCCGUCGUGAAGAGGGAAACAACCCAGACCGCCAGCUAAGGUCCCAAAGUCAUGGUUAAGUGGGAAACGAUGUGGGAAGGCCCAGACAGCCAGGAUGUUGGCUUAGAAGCAGCCAUCAUUUAAAGAAAGCGUAAUAGCUCACUGGUCGAGUCGGCCUGCGCGGAAGAUGUAACGGGGCUAAACCAUGCACCGAAGCUGCGGCAGCGACGCUUAUGCGUUGUUGGGUAGGGGAGCGUUCUGUAAGCCUGCGAAGGUGUGCUGUGAGGCAUGCUGGAGGUAUCAGAAGUGCGAAUGCUGACAUAAGUAACGAUAAAGCGGGUGAAAAGCCCGCUCGCCGGAAGACCAAGGGUUCCUGUCCAACGUUAAUCGGGGCAGGGUGAGUCGACCCCUAAGGCGAGGCCGAAAGGCGUAGUCGAUGGGAAACAGGUUAAUAUUCCUGUACUUGGUGUUACUGCGAAGGGGGGACGGAGAAGGCUAUGUUGGCCGGGCGACGGUUGUCCCGGUUUAAGCGUGUAGGCUGGUUUUCCAGGCAAAUCCGGAAAAUCAAGGCUGAGGCGUGAUGACGAGGCACUACGGUGCUGAAGCAACAAAUGCCCUGCUUCCAGGAAAAGCCUCUAAGCAUCAGGUAACAUCAAAUCGUACCCCAAACCGACACAGGUGGUCAGGUAGAGAAUACCAAGGCGCUUGAGAGAACUCGGGUGAAGGAACUAGGCAAAAUGGUGCCGUAACUUCGGGAGAAGGCACGCUGAUAUGUAGGUGAAGUCCCUUGCGGAUGGAGCUGAAAUCAGUCGAAGAUACCAGCUGGCUGCAACUGUUUAUUAAAAACACAGCACUGUGCAAACACGAAAGUGGACGUAUACGGUGUGACGCCUGCCCGGUGCCGGAAGGUUAAUUGAUGGGGUCAGCGCAAGCGAAGCUCUUGAUCGAAGCCCCGGUAAACGGCGGCCGUAACUAUAACGGUCCUAAGGUAGCGAAAUUCCUUGUCGGGUAAGUUCCGACCUGCACGAAUGGCGUAAUGAUGGCCAGGCUGUCUCCACCCGAGACUCAGUGAAAUUGAACUCGCUGUGAAGAUGCAGUGUACCCGCGGCAAGACGGAAAGACCCCGUGAACCUUUACUAUAGCUUGACACUGAACAUUGAGCCUUGAUGUGUAGGAUAGGUGGGAGGCUUUGAAGUGUGGACGCCAGUCUGCAUGGAGCCGACCUUGAAAUACCACCCUUUAAUGUUUGAUGUUCUAACGUUGACCCGUGAUCCGGGUUGCGGACAGUGUCUGGUGGGUAGUUUGACUGGGGCGGUCUCCUCCUAAAGAGUAACGGAGGAGCACGAAGGUUGGCUAAUCCUGGUCGGACAUCAGGAGGUUAGUGCAAUGGCAUAAGCCAGCUUGACUGCGAGCGUGACGGCGCGAGCAGGUGCGAAAGCAGGUCAUAGUGAUCCGGUGGUUCUGAAUGGAAGGGCCAUCGCUCAACGGAUAAAAGGUACUCCGGGGAUAACAGGCUGAUACCGCCCAAGAGUUCAUAUCGACGGCGGUGUUUGGCACCUCGAUGUCGGCUCAUCACAUCCUGGGGCUGAAGUAGGUCCCAAGGGUAUGGCUGUUCGCCAUUUAAAGUGGUACGCGAGCUGGGUUUAGAACGUCGUGAGACAGUUCGGUCCCUAUCUGCCGUGGGCGCUGGAGAACUGAGGGGGGCUGCUCCUAGUACGAGAGGACCGGAGUGGACGCAUCACUGGUGUUCGGGUUGUCAUGCCAAUGGCACUGCCCGGUAGCUAAAUGCGGAAGAGAUAAGUGCUGAAAGCAUCUAAGCACGAAACUUGCCCCGAGAUGAGUUCUCCCUGACUCCUUGAGAGUCCUGAAGGAACGUUGAAGACGACGACGUUGAUAGGCCGGGUGUGUAAGCGCAGCGAUGCGUUGAGCUAACCGGUACUAAUGAACCGUGAGGCUUAACCUU
Molecule: ribosomal RNA, 2904 nt
Filed under: Escherichia coli DEC15D
Lineage: Bacteria; Pseudomonadati; Pseudomonadota; Gammaproteobacteria; Enterobacterales; Enterobacteriaceae
Description: bacterial LSU rRNA
Rfam family: Bacterial large subunit ribosomal RNA
Source: RNAcentral